This 423-nucleotide ribosomal RNA is filed under the name Staphylococcus aureus. RNAcentral describes it as "bacterial SSU rRNA". It matches the Rfam family "Bacterial small subunit ribosomal RNA", at positions 1 to 413 of the family's 1533-position model. The record is from RNAcentral. Lineage: Bacteria; Bacillati; Bacillota; Bacilli; Caryophanales; Staphylococcaceae.
UUUAUGGAGAGUUUGAUCCUGGCUCAGGAUGAACGCUGGCGGCGUGCCUAAUACAUGCAAGUCGAGCGAACGGACGAGAAGCUUGCUUCUCUGAUGUUAGCGGCGGACGGGUGAGUAACACGUGGAUAACCUACCUAUAAGACUGGGAUAACUUCGGGAAACCGGAGCUAAUACCGGAUAAUAUUUUAAACCGCAUGGUUCAAAAGUGAAAGACGGUCUUGCUGUCACUUAUAGAUGGAUCCGCGCUGCAUUAGCUAGUUGGUAAGGUAACGGCUUACCAAGGCAACGAUGCAUAGCCGACCUGAGAGGGUGAUCGGCCACACUGGAACUGAGACACGGUCCAGACUCCUACGGGAGGCAGCAGUAGGGAAUCUUCCGCAAUGGGCGAAAGCCUGACGGAGCAACGCCGCGUGAGUGAUGAAG